GGCCCCGUAGCACAAUGGUACUGCGUCUGACUCCAGAUCAGAAGAUUGCGUGUUCGAAUCACGUCGGGGUCA
Non-coding RNA from Patiria miniata (bat star), 72 nucleotides. The record is from the annotation of a RefSeq genome assembly. Lineage: Eukaryota; Metazoa; Echinodermata; Asteroidea; Valvatida; Asterinidae.